AACGAACGCUGGCGGCAUGCCUAACACAUGCAAGUCGAACGAGACCUUCGGGUCUAGUGGCGCACGGGUGCGUAACGCGUGGGAACCUGCCCUUAGGUUCGGAAUAACUCCCCGAAAGGGGUGCUAAUACCGGAUAAUGUCUUCGGACCAAAGAUUUAUCGCCUUUGGAUGGGCCCGCGUUGGAUUAGCUAGUUGGUAGGGUAAAAGCCUACCAAGGCGACGAUCCAUAGCUGGUCUGAGAGGAUGAUCAGCCACACUGGGACUGAGACACGGCCCAGACUCCUACGGGAGGGAGCAGUGGGGAAUAGUGGACAAUGGGCGAAAGCCUGAUCCAGCAAUGCCGCGUGAGUGAUGAAGGCCUUAGGGUUGUAAAGCUCUUUUACCCGGGAUGAUAAUGACAGUACCGGGAGAAUAAGCCCCGGCUAACUCCGUG
RNAcentral lists this ribosomal RNA (433 nucleotides) under uncultured bacterium. RNAcentral's name for it is "partial 16S ribosomal RNA". It matches the Rfam family "Bacterial small subunit ribosomal RNA", at positions 29 to 507 of the family's 1533-position model. The record is from RNAcentral.